Molecule: ribosomal RNA, 253 nt
Filed under: uncultured bacterium
Lineage: Bacteria
Description: partial 16S ribosomal RNA
Rfam family: Bacterial small subunit ribosomal RNA
Source: RNAcentral
GACGAACCGUGCGAACGUUGUUCGGAAUCACUGGGCUUAAAGGGCGCGUAGGCGGACCAUCAAGUCGGGGGUGAAAUCUUUCAGCCCAACUGGAAAAGGGCUUCCGAUACUGGUGGUCUCGAGGGAGGUAGGGGUCGAGGGAACUAAUGGUGGAGCGGUGAAAUGCGUAGAUAUCAUUAGGAACGCCGGUGGCGAAAGCGCUCGACUGGACCUCUUCUGACGCUGAGGCGCGAAAGCCAGGGGAGCAAACAGG